This 497-nucleotide ribosomal RNA is filed under the name uncultured bacterium. RNAcentral's name for it is "partial 16S ribosomal RNA". It matches the Rfam family "Bacterial small subunit ribosomal RNA", at positions 28 to 507 of the family's 1533-position model. The record is from RNAcentral.
GAUGAACGCUGGCGGCGUGCCUAAUACAUGCAAGUCGAGCGAACAGACGAGGAGCUUGCUCCUCUGACGUUAGCGGCGGACGGGCGAGUAACACGUGGAUAACCUACCUAUAAGACUGGGAUAACUUCGGGAAACCGGAGCUAAUACCGGAUAAUAUAUUGAACCGCAUGGUUCAAUAGUGAAAGACGGUUUUGCUGUCACUUAUAGAUGGAUCCGCGCCGCAUUAGCUAGUUGGUAAGGUAACGGCUUACCAAGGCAACGAUGCGUAGCCGACCUGAGAGGGUGAUCGGCCACACUGGAACUGAGACACGGUCCAGACUCCUACGGGAGGCAGCAGUAGGGAAUCUUCCGCAAUGGGCGAAAGCCUGACGGAGCAACGCCGCGUGAGUGAUGAAGGUCUUUGGAUCGUAAAACUCUGUUAUUAGGGAAGAACAAAUGUGUAAGUAACUAUGCACGUCUUGACGGUACCUAAUCAGAAAGCCACGGCUAACUACGUG